Non-coding RNA from Actinobacteria bacterium IMCC26256, 385 nucleotides. It matches the Rfam family "Bacterial RNase P class A". Rfam says of the family: Ribonuclease P (RNase P) is a ubiquitous endoribonuclease, found in archaea, bacteria and eukarya as well as chloroplasts and mitochondria. Its best characterised activity is the generation of mature 5'-ends of tRNAs by cleaving the 5'-leader elements of precursor-tRNAs. The record is from Rfam. Lineage: Bacteria; Bacillati; Actinomycetota; Actinomycetes.
CAAGACGGCCGGGCGGCCGCGUGCGGACCUAGAUCCGACCGAGGAACGUCCGGACUCCAUAGAGCAAGGUGCUGGGUAACACCCAGUCGGGGGAACCCGCAGGAAAGUGCCACAGAGAUUAAACCGCCGAUGACGGGGGCAACCUCGAACAGGUAAGGGUGCAACGGUGCGGUAAGAGCGCACCAGCGCUCGGGGUGACCCGAGCGGCUAGGCAAACCCCACCGGGAGCAAGGUCAUACAGGGAGAGGGCUGCUCGCCCGACGAACUUUGGUUCAUAAUCCCGGGUAGACCGCAAGAGUUGGCUGGUAACAGUCAGCCGAGAUGGAUGGUCGCCCCAGGCGUGCAAACGCUUGGACAGAAUCCGGCGUACAGGCCGUCUUGCUAU